Mustela lutreola (European mink) is the source of this 4821-nucleotide long non-coding RNA. RefSeq lists it as uncharacterized. The transcript is spliced from 3 exons. The record is from RefSeq and is a predicted model, not a curated record. NCBI's taxonomy places the organism in Eukaryota, Metazoa, Chordata, Mammalia, Carnivora, Mustelidae.
ACAACCCGGCGCUGCUCCACGCUUUAACCCUCUCCCUGCAGUGGAGGGACAGGUCGCAGGUCUCGGGUUUCGCCGGGAAGGGUGGAGGCCUAAGACUCGGGGCUGACGUGGACCCCCAGCUCUGCACCUUACGUCCUCUUUUUCUGUGCAAUGAAAACAGUAGUUCCUCCCUCACUGCAUCGUGGCGUUAGUUUAAACGGGCUUUCGAAGAUACUUAACGAGCUCCUAGAUGCGCCACCCUAGCGCUGAUGGCGGGAAUGGACUGAAAGGGGAAAGAGAAACGUCACCCAACAGUUUGUCUUCCUGGACACCUGCGCGGGACACUCUGAGGCUAAGGUUUUAUUUAUUUGUCGGAGAGUGAGAGAGCGUGCAUGAACAGGGGGAGCAGCAGGCAGAGGGAGAAGCAGGCAGGCCUCCUGCUGAGCUGGAAGCCCAAUGCAGGACUCGACCCCAGGACCAUGACCUGAGCCAAAGGCAGAUGCUUAACUGACUGAGCGACCCAGGUGCCCACCAAAGUGCCUUUAAACUAGCACUUACCCCAGACAUUUAGUUGUUUCCAGUUGUUCGAUAUGUAAAUGACAUGGUGACAAACAUCUUUAGUAUACAUUUUGUCUCUGUUUCUCUUUGUUUCCCUAGGCCACAAGGGAGGUAGCCCCUUGUCAAAGGAUGUGCUGAUACUGCCUUCCAGAAAGUUCAUGUCAGUUCCAUUUCUCUAGUUUGUUUUAGUUUAAUUUAGUUUCAACAUUUGGUUCAGCAUUUAGUUUAGUUUCAGCAUUUACCAGUCAUUGCCCCUAGUGAACAACCAGAAAAUGAAACUGACGUUUCUAUAGCUACUUCUUUGGGCUAGGCAUGGUACUAACUCACUCUUACAUGAUCUCAUUUAAUCUUCAUAACAAUGUCAGGAAUCUAAAAUUCAGAGAGGCACAUUCAUUUGUCCAAAGUGAUACAGCAAGCUAGGAAUGUAAGCAGCCAGAGUGUUAAACUCCUUAAAAACCUUCCAAAGGAUUCCCCUUACACUUAGAAUAAAAUCCAAACUACUCCUUAUGGCCUAUGAAUCCCUAAUGUUCUGCAUCCUGCCUCCCUCUCCCACCAUGCUCCCCUCUAGCCAUACUGGUUUUCUUUCUGUCCCUCCAGUUCUCUACCAUCCUGCCCACCACAGGGCCUUUGCCCUGCCAUUUCCCCACAUCUUUUACAUGGCUGUUGCUUUCCCACUCUGGCUCCACCUCCUCGAUGAGUUGGUCCUAAUGUCCACAGCUAACAUAACAAAAGACCCCUGUCUUUUCCAUGAUCUUGUUUUAUGUCCAUCAUGGAAGUUUAUCACUGUCAGAUUGGUCAUUGAUUUGCUUGCUGUAUUUGUCAGGAUCUUCCAGAGAAACAGAAACAACAGGGUGUGUGUGUGUGUGUGUGUGUGUGUGUGUGUGUGUGAGUAUGUAGAGAGAGAGAGAGAGAUUGAUUAACUCUAAGGAAUUCAUUCAUGCAGUUAUGGAAGUAGGCAAGUCUCAUGAUCUUCAGGGUGAAUCGACAAUCUGAAGACUCAUGAGAGUUGAUGAUUUGGUUAUAGUCCAGGUCCAAAGUGUCUGAGAACGAGGAGAGCUGAUCAUGUAAUUCCUGUCUAAAGACCAACAGGUUCAAGACUCAGGAAGUGCCAAUGUUUCGAUUCAAGUCCAAAGGCAGAAAAAAAGCUGAUAUUUCAGUUUGAAGGCAAACAGGCAAGUGUAGUUCUCCCUUAGUCAGCAAUUUUGUUUUAUUCAGGCCUUCAACGGAUUGUAUGAGGCCCACCCACAUUGAGGAGGGCCAUCUGCUUUACUUGGUCUACUGAUUUAAAUGUUAAUCUCAUCCAAACACACUCUCACAGAGAGACCCAGAAAAAUGUUCGACCAGACAUCUGGGCACCCCAUGACCCAGUCAAGUUGACACAUAAUAUUAGCCAUCACACUUAUUUAUCGUCAUCUCUCCACCUUUAGCUGCUAAGGCAGCUCCUUGAGUGUCCUGUCCCUGGCAAUUGGCACAUAGUAGGUGUGAAAUAAUAACAACUGAAUGAAUGCAUGAUAGAGCCUAGAUUCCAGCCUUGAUCCAAGCAAUUCCCCGUUAAUUUUUUUUCACAUUUAUUCUUUUUCUGUAAUAAAUGAUUUCACAUUGAUCACUGAUGAUUUACUGAAAAGAAAAUGAUGUAACAUCUAAAAUCAAAUCAGUGUCCCUGUGCAAAUGUACGAUUUGUGUGUGUGUGAUGACAAAGCCCUGGAUUGGGAAUCUGAGGGCACUACUCAGCUUCUUGGGGACCCUCAGUUCCCAGGCAACAAGUUAACACCCAUGUUGUUCUUCUCUGACCGUGUGACUGUGAGCCAACUGAAAGUCAAGUCGGCCUGCAGCAAUGCUUCAAGGUUACUGAGAGAUGAUUUCCUGCCACUGCAAAGUGGGAGGAGAAGCAGCAUCUGCAGGAGGGGUGGAGUAGCUGAAUACUUAUUAGUGAUUCAUCAGGAGCUGAUGACAUGAAUAGAAAGGGUUAGAAAAUCUCCAUUGAUCAGACUGAAGAAUAAUGACCUUCCAGUAUAUCCAAAGGGAGUAUCUAUGAUAAGCUCUGAGGCCUGCACCCACCCCUCAGUGACUGUUUUAGACAACCCAUAAUGCCUGAGUCCAGUAAACGUUGGCUUAUGCUGGGGUUUAGGGAUUCUGUAGUCAGAAGUCCCAGAGGACAAGUUAUAUAAACAGCUAAAAUACACAUGCAUGAUGUGGUAGAGUGUACACAAAUCACACUUGUGUGAAUAAAGCAGGAACACAUUUCAUGUGCAAGGACUUGGUUCUGGCAUUGCCCCGGAGGGUAUUGAUACAAUUUGUGAAGGACCUUUGACUCAGGAACCUCCAGGGAGUUCAGCCAUAAGGUUGAUUUCAUUUUUCUCUUGCAAAAAAAUGUCAUGGGGGACCUAUUAUACAUUAUGCUUUGCUUGGAAGGGACUUGAACAAGAGUUGCUGUGUUGGGGAAGGAAGGGCAUGGAGCUGGAAUGCUCAAGAGCCACAUUUAGCAUGUAAUUGCACCCCAGCCAAACAGAGGCAUCAAGAGGAGGGAGGGAAGUGGGGAGAGAGAAAGAGAGAGGAAGAGAGAAGAGGAGAAUCCUUGAAAUAAUUAAAUACUUGCUAUUUACUACCCCAAAUCACUCCAAAUAGCCAUCAUGGAGAAAAAAAAAUAGAACAUUGCUAGAUUAUAUUGUCUUGUUUUCUUAUUUUGCUUCAGACUUGGGCAAUUGAGCAAAACAUUUUGGUAAAUGAACAAGCUCAGGAGCCGUUUGGGUUGGGCUCCAGUCCCACCUGCCAUAGGUGCCAUCAGUGCCAUCGGUGCCAUAGGUAUUUAAACAUAAUUAAUUCUUUCUUAUUUUAAAAAGGAAAAUAGGGGUACCUGGGUGGCUCAGUGGAAUGGGCCUCUGCCUUUGGCUCAGGUCAUGGUCUCAGGGUCCUGGGAUUGAGCCCUGCGUCAGGCUCUCUGCUCAGUGGGGAGCCUGCUUCUCCCUCUCUCUCUGCCUGCCUCUCUGCCUACUUGUGAUCUCUGUCUGUCAAAUAAAUAAAUAAAAUCUUAAAAAAAAAAAGGAAAAGAGAAUAAACCUCUCCUUCUGACUACCACCCCCUUGGAAUUAUCUCACCCUCUCAGGAAAAUCAUUGAUAAUCCAUACAAAUUAUACAGAUGACUCCUGGAGCCCCUGAGUAGCUCUCUCGGUUAAGUGGCCAACUCUUGAUUUCGGCUCAGGUCAUAAAUUCAGGGUGGUGGAAUCGAGCCCUGUGUCUAGGCAUCUGGCUGUCUGGCUCCAUGCUCAGCACAGAGUCUUUGUCCCUCUCCCUGUCCUCCUCACCCUGCUCACUCUCUCUCUCUCAAAUAAAUAAACAAAUAAAAUCUUUUUAAAAGAUUACAUAGACCACUCUUUAAAAAGUUGCCCUUAUUCUUCCCUUGCCACUGCCCAGCCCCCUCUCCCCACCUCCACCCACGGAGUCUGCUCUGUCGAGGUCUCCACCUUUGUUCUGUGAUGACUGCAGAAACUUUUGUUUCAGUUCUCCUCUUGCUCAACCUUUAAGCCACAUUUGAAACUAAUAACUACUCCCUUCUCGGAACUCACAAAACGAAGUGGUAUAUUACUUACCUCUUGCUAUGUAAGAAUCACCCCAAACUUACUUGCUUAGAAUGACACACAUGAAGUGAGAUUUCACUUCAUGCACUUUGGGGCAGCUACUAUCAAAAAGUCCAGAGAACCCCAAAACAGAAAAACAAGUGUUGACAAGGAUGUGGAGGAAUUGAAACCCUUAUGCACUGCCAGUGGGAAUGUAAAAUGAUGCAGCUGAUGUAGAAAACAGUAUGGUGCUUCUGGAAAAAAUUAUACAGAAUUACUGUAUGAUCCAGUAAUCCCACUUCUGGGUGUCUAUCUGAAAGAAGAGAAAAUAGGAUCUUGAAGAGAUAUUUAUACACAGUGUUUGUAAUAGCAUUAUUCAUAGUCACCCAAAGGUGGAAGCAACCCAAGUAUCCACUGAUGGGUGAAUGGAUAGACAAAAAGUGGUCUAUGCAUAGAAUGGAAUAUGAUUCAGGCUUAAAGAGGAAGGAAAUGCUGAUGUACGAUGCAACACAGAUGAACCUUGAGGACAUUAUGCUACAUGAACAAAGCCAGUCACAAAAAGACAGAUGCUGGAGGCACCUGGGUGUCUUGGUGGGUUAACGGCCUGCCUUUGGCUCAGGUCAUGAUCCCAGGAUACUGGAAUUGAGCCCCGCACUGGGCUCUCUGCUCAGCCUGCUUCUCCCUCUCCCUCUGCUCCCACUAGUGCUUAUUCGCUCUCUCUCUCUAGUGU